UUUUGUUUAUGUGGGUUAAAGCUAUUGA
This 28-nucleotide non-coding RNA is filed under the name Rattus norvegicus (Norway rat). Lineage: Eukaryota; Metazoa; Chordata; Mammalia; Rodentia; Muridae. The record is from RNAcentral.